CAGCAGCCACGGUAAUACGAAGGGGGCUAGCGUUGUUCGGAAUUACUGGGCGUAAAGCGCACGUAGGCGGACAUUUAAGUCAGGGGUGAAAUCCCGGGGCUCAACCCCGGAACUGCCUUUGAUACUGGGUGUCUAGAGUAUGGAAGAGGUGAGUGGAAUUCCGAGUGUAGAGGUGAAAUUCGUAGAUAUUCGGAGGAACACCAGUGGCGAAGGCGGCUCACUGGUCCAUUACUGACGCUGAGGUGCGAAAGCGUGGGGAGCAAACAGGAUUAGAGACCCCAGUAGUCCCUGUCUCUUAUAC
RNAcentral lists this ribosomal RNA (301 nucleotides) under uncultured bacterium. RNAcentral describes it as "partial 16S ribosomal RNA". It matches the Rfam family "Bacterial small subunit ribosomal RNA", at positions 509 to 807 of the family's 1533-position model. The record is from RNAcentral.